UGGCAGUACUUUUGGUCUGCUCCCUCUACUACCGUGGGAAUGUUGAUGAAGGCCACCAUAUGCCGAAUCAUGCCUUCUCCAAGGCUCCCUAGCUGGGGAACGAGGAGGUUGCGCCCUGCUGCGCUGAUACUGUGGUGGCCUCUGAUGAGGCUGGUAAGCAGUUACCCGACCUCCUGCUCCACUACCCGAGGCCUGGUGGUCCCUCCUCCUGAUCGGGCCAUUCCCCGGUAAUGCUUUCUUCUCUUUCCUCCCCAACCCUUCUAACUGGUCUGUCUUAAUCCGUGCUGCCUUCUCCUCUUCAAUCUCAAUGUCUCUCUUAGCCUGCUCGUAUGCGGCCGCGUACGUCUGAAUAACUGGGCUUCUCAAGUUGUACCACAGCCUUCCUAUCUUCACCCCUCUUUCAAUCCCCUUAACGCCUGAGGGUGGUUGAAGGCUCCCAAGUCGAGGACAGCACGAUGAAACCUCUUGAUGAAUUCCCGAAGGGUUUCUUGCUCCCCCUGUUUCAUGCUUUUCAGCUCCAUCAUGUCAUCUUCUGGUGCCAUUGCCCCACUAAACUGCUCUGCAAAUUCCUGGCACAUCUGCUCGAAGGUUUUAAUGCUGCCCCGAGGAAGUUUCCUGUACCACUCUCGUACACGUCCCUCAAGGGAUAGUGGGAACACCCUGCACCUUUGGGAUUGAGAUAAUCCUUGUACCCCAGUUAUGUCGUUGAAGCGCU
RNAcentral lists this long non-coding RNA (715 nucleotides) under Citrus maxima (pomelo). RNAcentral describes it as "long non-coding RNA (CMAX_LNC002806)". The record is from RNAcentral. Lineage: Eukaryota; Viridiplantae; Streptophyta; Magnoliopsida; Sapindales; Rutaceae.